This 255-nucleotide ribosomal RNA is filed under the name Escherichia coli. RNAcentral describes it as "partial 23S ribosomal RNA". It matches the Rfam family "Bacterial large subunit ribosomal RNA", at positions 231 to 524 of the family's 2925-position model. The record is from RNAcentral. Lineage: Bacteria; Pseudomonadati; Pseudomonadota; Gammaproteobacteria; Enterobacterales; Enterobacteriaceae.
GAGAUUCCCCCAGUAGCGGCGAGCGAACGGGGAGGAGCCCAGAGUCUGAAUCAGUGUGUGUGUUAGUGGAAGCGUCUGGAAAGGCGCGCGAUACAGGGUGACAGCCCCGUACACAAAAAUGCACAUACUGUGAGCUCGAUGAGUAGGGCGGGACACGUGGUAUCCUGUCUGAAUAUGGGGGGACCAUCCUCCAAGGCUAAAUACUCCUGACUGACCGAUAGUGAACCAGUACCGUGAGGGAAAGGCGAAAAGAAC